CACACACAGACACACACACACACACACACACACACAAACACACACACACAGACACACACACAGACACACACACACACACUCAGACUCAGCAGCAGCGUGUCAGCAGCUGUCUGCUGGUCUCUCAGUCAUGUUAUCCUUGGCUGCCCUGGUGCUCCGUCUCCGAGUCUCUGGUUGCCAGGGAAGAAGACGAUCCAUCGCAACUGUGGUCUCAGGGAACAGGACGUCCAAGUUGGUGAGGGAGCGGCUGCAGAAGGAGGUGGAGAAGAUGAGGAGUCAGUUCUCAGGGUUCAGACCUGGUCUGCUGGUUCUGCAGGUGGGCGACAGAGACGACUCUAAUCUGUACAUCAGCUCCAAACUGAAGGCUGCAGCCGAGGUCAGAA
This is a long non-coding RNA of Perca fluviatilis (European perch), 380 nucleotides long. RefSeq lists it as uncharacterized. NCBI's taxonomy places the organism in Eukaryota, Metazoa, Chordata, Actinopteri, Perciformes, Percidae. The transcript has 4 exons. The record is from RefSeq and is a predicted model, not a curated record.